This is an unclassified non-coding RNA of Callithrix jacchus (white-tufted-ear marmoset), 116 nucleotides long. It matches the Rfam family "Metazoan signal recognition particle RNA". From Rfam's summary of the family: The signal recognition particle (SRP) is a universally conserved ribonucleoprotein. Lineage: Eukaryota; Metazoa; Chordata; Mammalia; Primates; Cebidae. The record is from Ensembl.
GCCGGGUGUGGUGGCUCACACCUGUAAUCCAAGCACUUUGGAGGCUAAGGCGAGCGGAUCACCUGAGGUCGGGAGUUCAAGACCAGCCUGACCAACAUGGUGAAACCCCAUCUUUU